RNAcentral lists this long non-coding RNA (1165 nucleotides) under Mus musculus (house mouse). RNAcentral's name for it is "RIKEN cDNA 2900052N01 gene". Lineage: Eukaryota; Metazoa; Chordata; Mammalia; Rodentia; Muridae. The record is from RNAcentral.
AGAGCCAGUUCUCUUCAGGAGCAUGCCAGGCUGAAGCUUUGUCCUAUGGAGAAGCAGAAAAGGUCAGAGGAGGAGAAAGAAAGAGCCCUUCCCGGUCAAGGAGCCAGCCAGGGAGGGAGACAAAAGGAAGGAGGCUCCAUGGAGUGCAGUACCAAUGAAGACCUGCAUAGGAGGGCCUGAGUCUGCUCAUUGGACCAACUUGUGAGAGGAAAGUAUUCAGGGGCACCUCUGAAGAUAGCUGUAUGAAGAUGAGGAAAACCCCACAGAUUUCACAAGCAUCUCUACAAGACUUCCUGUUUUCCACUUCUCCAUUUGUCAGACUCAGCCCAUUAACUGUGGUUCAGUUUUGGUCCAAAGCUUUCUAUCGGACUCCUCUGCUAGCCAAGGAGUACAGUCUUAUCUGAAUCCCAGAGGCACAUGCCCUGAGUAUCCCACCACUUGAAGAUUGCUAGUGAGGUCAGAGGUGAUAUUAGCAAAUGUGAUUUUCCAAUACUGAACCAUGAAAUAUGUCACCGUUUGCAAAAUAAGUGCAGCACAGGUAACCGAUAUUUCCAGGUGAUCAAUUCAUGAUGUAAAAUUCCAUCAAAGAAUAAGACGGAUCAAUGGAUUUUAAUGUAACAGCAUAUUAAAAGGUUUCCAAGCUGUAACUCAAUUUAAGAAACUACCAUUUGUUGAAUGUUGCUAUAAUUUCCAUGAAAGCCCACACUUAGCAGAAUGCAAUCAAAGCAAAUAUCCCUCACUUUUCUACCUCCUUGACUGCGUGAGGCCAUGUUGGAUUCGUAUACUCAUAUAAAACAAUAUGACAACAGACUAUCUAAACACCUCUAUAGCCACUGAGCUAAUUUCUAUUAAGAAAGACACUAAAGGGAUUUUUGAAAUUGGAAAACUCAGCAUCCUGGGCAUUGUGGUGUGCACACCUACAUGGCAGCAGCCAGCACUUGGGGAAUGAAGGCAAAAGGUACAAGGCCAGCCUUGGGCUAAUAAGGAGAGUUCAACUCUGGCCUAGGUCAUAUAAUACCUUGUCUCAAAACAAACAAAAGAUCAAAAAAAGUAAAAUCAGGUUGCUGUUCUUGCUAAUUUUGUUUUGAAAACAAACAAAAAAAUUAAUCUUGUAUUCACAUGUAAUUUGUUAUUAUAUUUGAAUAAAGUAAUAUAUAGUAAAGUA